GCAUAUCAAUAAGCGGAGGAAAAGAAACCAACAGGGAUUGCCCUAGUAACGGCGAGUGAAGCGGCAACAGCUCAAAUUUGAAAUCUGGCUUCGGCCCGAGUUGUAAUUUGCAGAGGAUGUUUCUGGCGCGGUGCCUUCCGAGUUCCCUGGAACGGGACGCCACAGAGGGUGAGAGCCCCGUAUGGUUGGACACCAAGCCUGUGUGAAACUCCUUCGACGAGUCGAGUAGUUUGGGAAUGCUGCUCAAAAUGGGAGGUAAAUCUCUUCUAAAGCUAAAUACCGGCCAGAGACCGAUAGCGCACAAGUAGAGUGAUCGAAAGAUGAAAAGCACCUUGAAAAGGGGGUUAAACAGUACGUGAAAUUGUUGAAAGGGAAGCGCUUGUGACCAGACUUGCGCCGGGCGGUUCAUCCGGGGUUCUCCCCGGUGCACUCCGCCCGGCUCAGGCCAGCAUCGGUUUUCGUUGGGGGAUAAGAACGGCAGGAACGUGGCCCUCCUUCGGGUGGGUGUUAUAGCCUGCCGUACGAUACCCUGACGGGGACCGAGGUUCGCGCUCCGCAAGGAUGCUGGCGUAAUGGUCAUCAGCGACCCGUCUUGAAACACGGACCAAGGAGUCGUCCAUUAGAGCGAGCGUUUGGGUGUCAAACCCGCACGCGUAAUGAAAGUGAAAUUAGGUGAGAGCUUCGGCGCAUCAUCGACCGAUCCUGAUGUUCUCGGAUGGAUUUGAGUAAGAGUUUUAACGGACGGACCCGAAAGACAGUGAACUAUGCUUGUAUAGGGUGAAGCCAGAGGAAACUCUGGUGGAGGCUCGCAGCGGUUCUGACGUGCAAAUCGAUCGUCAAAUAUGAGCAUGGGGGCGAAAGACUAAUCGAACUGUCUAGUAGCUGGUUACCGCCGAAGUU
Molecule: ribosomal RNA, 900 nt
Filed under: Cryphonectria parasitica (chestnut blight fungus)
Lineage: Eukaryota; Fungi; Ascomycota; Sordariomycetes; Diaporthales; Cryphonectriaceae
Description: LSU rRNA
Rfam family: Eukaryotic large subunit ribosomal RNA
Source: RNAcentral